Molecule: long non-coding RNA, 209 nt
Filed under: Salvia miltiorrhiza (redroot sage)
Lineage: Eukaryota; Viridiplantae; Streptophyta; Magnoliopsida; Lamiales; Lamiaceae
Description: long non-coding RNA (SMIL_LNC009110)
Source: RNAcentral
UUUUUUGGGGGCAUUCAAUACAUUUUAGACAUUUUUUACUAAAAUACAAAUAUAAUCAUAAUAAUAACAACAUUUUUAUAGAUAAUAUAGUUCAAAACAUUUACUAAAUUUUUUUUUGGAGCAUUCAAUACAUUUUAGACAUUUUUUACUAAAAUACAAAUAUAAUAAUAAUAAUAACAACAUUUUCAUUUAUAAUAUAGUUCAAAACA